GCAAGUCGAACGGUAAGGUCCCGCUUGCGGGAUACACGAGUGGCGCACGGGUGAGUAACGCGUAUGCAACCUACCUUUAACUGGAGAAUAGCCCCGAGAAAUCGGGAUUAAUACUUCAUAACAAUAAAUUUUGGCAUCAUUAUUUAUUUAAAGCUCCGGCGGUUAAAGAUGGGCAUGCGUGACAUUAGAUAGUUGGUGAGGUAACGGAUCACCAAGUCAGCGAUGUCUAGGGGUUCUGGAGGAUUUU
This 247-nucleotide ribosomal RNA is filed under the name uncultured bacterium. RNAcentral describes it as "partial 16S ribosomal RNA". It matches the Rfam family "Bacterial small subunit ribosomal RNA", at positions 57 to 304 of the family's 1533-position model. The record is from RNAcentral.